CUCGUACGAUCACCGAAGUUAAGCAACGUCGACCCUGGUCAGUACCUAUAUGUGUGACCGCUUGGGAAUACCAGGUGCUGUAAG
This is a non-coding RNA of Acanthosepion pharaonis, 84 nucleotides long. Lineage: Eukaryota; Metazoa; Mollusca; Cephalopoda; Sepiida; Sepiidae. The record is from the annotation of a GenBank genome assembly.